GGACGACUGUGAAUGGAUGGGGUUCUCUCAUUUGGUUUUAUCGGGAUAUCACUAUCAUACACCAAACACUAAAAUGCUCAAAUCUAAUUUCAAGGUACUGUCCAGCACCUAAAUUAAUAGUUGUUGCAAAUAAAUACACCACAAC
Molecule: long non-coding RNA, 145 nt
Organism: Gossypium arboreum
Lineage: Eukaryota; Viridiplantae; Streptophyta; Magnoliopsida; Malvales; Malvaceae
Exons: 2
Source: RefSeq, a predicted model, not a curated record